This 264-nucleotide ribosomal RNA is filed under the name uncultured bacterium. RNAcentral describes it as "partial 16S ribosomal RNA". It matches the Rfam family "Bacterial small subunit ribosomal RNA", at positions 90 to 354 of the family's 1533-position model. The record is from RNAcentral.
CUUUAGUGGCGGACGGGUGAGUAACGCGUGGGUAACCUGCCUUGCACUGGGGGAUAACACUUAGAAAUAGGUGCUAAUACCGCAUAAGCGCACGGUCCUGCAUGGGACAGUGUGAAAAACUCCGGUGGUGCAAGAUGGACCCGCGUCUGAUUAGCUGGUUGGCGGGGUAAAGGCCCACCAAGGCGACGAUCAGUAGCCGGCCUGAGAGGGUGGACGGCCACAUUGGGACUGAGACACGGCCCAAACUCCUACGGGAGGCAGCAG